This 497-nucleotide ribosomal RNA is filed under the name uncultured bacterium. RNAcentral's name for it is "partial 16S ribosomal RNA". It matches the Rfam family "Bacterial small subunit ribosomal RNA", at positions 28 to 507 of the family's 1533-position model. The record is from RNAcentral.
GAUGAACGCUGGCGGCGUGCCUAAUACAUGCAAGUCGAGCGAACAGACGAGGAGCUUGCUUGUCUGAUGUUAGCGGCGGACGGGUGAGUAACACGUGUAUAACCUACCUAUAAGACUGGGAUAACUUCGGGAAACCGGAGCUAAUACCGGAUAAUAUUUUGAACCGCAUGGUUCAAUAGUGAAAGACGGUCUUGCUGUCACUUAUAGAUGGAUCCGCGCUGCAUUAUCUAGUUGGUAAGGUAACGGCUUACCAAGGCAACGAUGCAUAGCCGACCUGAGAGGGGGAUCGGCCACACUGGAACUGAGACAGGGUCCAUACUCCUACGGGAGGCAGCAGUCGGGAAUCUUCCGCAAUGGGCGAAAGCCUGACGGAGCAACGCCGCGUGAGUGAUGAAGGUCUUCGGAUCGUAAAACUCUGUUAUUAGGGAAGAACAUAUGUGUAAGUAACUGUGCACAUCUUGACGGUACCUAAUCAGAAAGCCACGGCUAACUACGUG